This 189-nucleotide ribosomal RNA is filed under the name uncultured Streptococcus sp. RNAcentral's name for it is "partial 16S ribosomal RNA". It matches the Rfam family "Bacterial small subunit ribosomal RNA", at positions 1194 to 1382 of the family's 1533-position model. The record is from RNAcentral. Lineage: Bacteria; Bacillati; Bacillota; Bacilli; Lactobacillales; Streptococcaceae.
CAUGCCCCUUAUGACCUGGGCUACACGCGUGCUACAAUGGUUGGUACAACGAGUUGCGAGUCGGUGACGGCGAGCUAAUCUCUUAAAGCCAAUCUCAGUUCGGAUUGUAGGCUGCAACUCGCCUACAUGAAGUCGGAAUCGCUAGUAAUCGCGGAUCAGCACGCCGCGGUGAAUACGUUCCCGGGCCUU